This 358-nucleotide ribosomal RNA is filed under the name Hepatozoon silvestris. RNAcentral's name for it is "partial small subunit ribosomal RNA". It matches the Rfam family "Eukaryotic small subunit ribosomal RNA", at positions 577 to 922 of the family's 1831-position model. Lineage: Eukaryota; Apicomplexa; Hepatozoidae. The record is from RNAcentral.
CGGUAAUUCCAGCUCCAAUAGCGUAUAUUAAAAUUGUUGCAGUUAAAAAGCUCGUAGUUGAAUUUCUGUUAAAAAUAACCGGUCUGCUUUUAUUAUUAGUAAAAGUGGUAUCUUGGCUUUUUUUUUAGCAAUAAUGUCCUUGGAGAUGUUUUUUACUUACUUUAUUGUAAUAAAUUAUGUUGAGGAUUUUUACUUUGAGAAAAUUAGAGUGUUUCUAGCAGGCUAACGCUUUGAAUACUGCAGCAUGGAAUAAUAAAAUAGGAUUUUGGUUCUACAUUAUUGGUUUUAAGAACUAAAUUAAUGAUUGAUAGGGACAGUUGGGGGCAUUUGUAUUUAACUGUCAGAGGUGAAAUUCUUA